GACGAACCGUGCGAACGUUGUUUGGAAUCACUGGGCUUAAAGGGUGCGUAGGCGGGUUGUCCAGUCUGGGGUGAAAUCCCACGGCUCAACCGUGGAACUGCCUCAGAUACUGACGACCUCGGGGGAGGUAGGGGCGAGCGGAACUGUGGGUGGAGCGGUGAAAUGCGUUGAUAUCCACAGGAACUCCGGUGGCGAAGGCGGCUCGCUGGACCUCUUCUGACGCUGAGGCACGAAAGCUAGGGGAGCAAACGGG
RNAcentral lists this ribosomal RNA (253 nucleotides) under uncultured bacterium. RNAcentral describes it as "partial 16S ribosomal RNA". It matches the Rfam family "Bacterial small subunit ribosomal RNA", at positions 524 to 776 of the family's 1533-position model. The record is from RNAcentral.